UGGGGAAUCUUCCGCAAUGGACGAAAGUCUGACGGAGCAACGCCGCGUGAGUGAAGAAGGUUUUCGGAUCGUAAAACUCUGUCUUUUGGGGCGAACGUGAGUAUGGUAAAUAAUCAUAGUCAGUGACGGUACCAAAGGAGGAAGCCACGGCUAACUACGUGCCAGCAGCCGCGGUAAUACGUAGGUGGCAAGCGUUGUCCGGAAUUAUUGGGCGUAAAGAGCGCGUAGGCGGGAUAGUCAGUCUGUUGUAAAAGUGCGGGCUCAACCCCGUGAUCGCAAUGGAAACAGCUAUUCUUGAGUGCAGGAGAGGAAAGUGGAAUUCCCAGUGUAGCGGUGAAAUGCGUAGAUAUUGGGAGGAACACCAGUGGCGAAGGCGACUUUCUGGACUGUGUCUGACGCUGAGGCGCG
Molecule: ribosomal RNA, 408 nt
Filed under: uncultured bacterium
Lineage: Bacteria
Description: partial 16S ribosomal RNA
Rfam family: Bacterial small subunit ribosomal RNA
Source: RNAcentral